GAAACCAAGCUUUGCACUCCAAUAUCUAUCUGGAAUACUUGAGAUCAAUCCAAAUUGAGACCAAUCCAAAUAUUUCACUAUAUCUUUUCAGUCCUUUAAAAGACUAAUCAACAGUCGUAAUAAAAACUACAAUUGGUACAAAGCUUUGUAGUUGCCACGAGCUGCAAAGAGGCGUUAGCCUUUUUCUUUUCUUCUUUUUUAUUUUGCUUCUCUUUCUUUUCGCUGACCUCUUUUUUGUAUUUCUUCUUUGCUGCCCUCCUUUUGUUUUGGCUGUAUGCACACAAACACAAGAUGAAGGAUUCAUGCAAGAGUGGGUUGUGUAAUAUGGCCUCCUUUCAUCUUCACUUUUAAUGUACAACUAAUCUCUUUCUUUUUACUUUUGGCAUAGUGUAUUCAGGCAGAGCACAAGGUCUGUGCAAUUCGCUUAGACAUGGAAGGAGAGGGAGAACUGAUCAAAGAAUUUAAAAGCAAAGGUAUAAUUUUUCCUUUGCUACGGGAUUAAGCCCAUGUGCUUCUACUUUAGUCAUCAAUUCUUUUACUGCACUUUUGAUUGAGAAUUAGUUUCCCAUUUUUUUCUUUUGUUUUUUGAAUCUCAACUCUUUUUUUGUGUGCAGGUCAUCCAAGAAAGAACAAUUGGGCAGAGGAGACAUUUGUGCAACGGCGGAGUAAAGACCCGAGUUUUAAUUUCUCAUUAGCUAACUUUUGCGAGAUUAACUCCCUUCAUUUUUUUGUUCUUUUCCUGCAACAUGAUAUUUUAUCUCCUUAAUUGAUUCAUGCCCUUUUUAAGGAUUCAACAUCCAGAACAAUUUGAUUCAUGGGUAAGACACCAAAGUGGAUUCAUCAUCCACAAAGUUCAUGGGAUUUCCCCAAAAUGAUUGAAGAAGAAGAAGAAGAACGAACCCCAUGUGAAGAAGAAGAAGAAGAAGAAGAAAAAUAAGCUAAUCAAGAAGAAGAAGAAGAAGAAGAAGAAGUAGCC
Molecule: long non-coding RNA, 976 nt
Filed under: Prunus persica (peach)
Lineage: Eukaryota; Viridiplantae; Streptophyta; Magnoliopsida; Rosales; Rosaceae
Description: long non-coding RNA (PPER_LNC000862)
Source: RNAcentral